This 1377-nucleotide ribosomal RNA is filed under the name Triticum aestivum (bread wheat). Its description in RNAcentral is "partial small subunit ribosomal RNA". Lineage: Eukaryota; Viridiplantae; Streptophyta; Magnoliopsida; Poales; Poaceae. The record is from RNAcentral.
AUGACCGGCCGAUUAGUAGGCCAAGAUGGAGCACAACCUCUCAGCGUGAAGAAAAUUCCACUCGUAAUGCAAAGCACCAGCCUUUUGUUAUCCUUCUUGCAAGUGUCCGUGUCGAUGGCUCCAACGGCUCUGAGGCGUCCAGGCGACGCAGGAGGCGCGGAGGCUGGUGGGGCGGCCGGGGCCGCGGGUCGCGGCGAGGCAGAGGCUUGGGCGGAGGUGCGGGCGUCGGGGCGGCCGGCGCCCUCCUCCCCCCCCUGGUCGCCGGCUUCAGAACCAGCACAACAAAUACACCAAAUCACAAGAUCAAACAUGGAUUUGAGACCAGCCAUGCGUUCUACUCUGCUGCUUCUGGUGCUCCUGCUUCCUUUUUCCGCAAAUGCGUCGAGCAAACUCUAUAUUGUGUAUAUGGGAGAGAAGCAGCAUGAUGAUCCAUCCGUGGUUACCGCGUCACACCAUGAUGUACUGACCUCUGUUUUCGGAAGUAAGGAUGAAGCCCUGAAGUCUAUAGUAUACAGUUACCGGCACGGAUUUUCCGGUUUUGCAGCGAUGCUAACUGAAACACAAGCUGAGUUCCCUGCAGAAUUUCCUCAAGUUCUAUCCGUAAAGCCAAACACUUAUCACAAGGGGCAAACAACUCGGAGCUGGGAUUUUCUUGGUCUUGACUACUACCAGUCACCACGUGGUUCUGCCGGCCUCCUCCAGAAAGCAAAGUACGGCGAAGAUAUCAUCAUUGGUGUCAUCGAUUCAGGUAUUGACCCCGAGGACCUCAAGGGCGAGUAUAUGUCCCCAAGGGACUUGAGUGGCCAUGGCACGCAUGCAGCCUCGACCAUCGCUGGAAACCGCGUGUGGAAUAACGGCACGUCGUACGCGCUGGCAUCCAAAAUAAGACGAGGAGGGGCAAAAAAUGGUGGCGCGCGACGUGCCCUGGCCGCUGCAUGCGACCUUGCGGCAGCUGCGAGCGAACGCCAUGGCUGGAUUCGAGCGCUCCUCUCCAUGGUCGCCGCAGCCGAACGCGCUAGUCGCCAUGGCUGGCUUCCGUUUUCCUUCCAUGAGAGCUGCAUCCCGGGCGACGGUGGCGGUGCUGGAGCCGUUCAAGCGAUGAGCGACAACCAGCAAGGCCAGAACCCCACUGUCCGGAAAGCUGCAACAGGCCACACAAUAUGCUGGAAGCAGUGUUCCCUGGAGCUGGAACCAUCGUACAUUUUUGCUGCAAUCAGCAGUCGCCAGGGGGUGAAGAAGGCGAGAUACGGUGCUACUACCAAAGAGUCUUUUUGCUGGAACCGGAUCCUGGAGAUGCUGGAACCAUCUUCUAUUUUUGCUGCAACCAGCAGCUACCGGGGUGAAAACGUCGAGGUACGGUGCUACUACCACAUAUAG